This 429-nucleotide ribosomal RNA is filed under the name Fusobacteriota bacterium. RNAcentral describes it as "Fusobacteria bacterium partial 16S ribosomal RNA". It matches the Rfam family "Bacterial small subunit ribosomal RNA", at positions 355 to 776 of the family's 1533-position model. The record is from RNAcentral. Lineage: Bacteria; Fusobacteriati; Fusobacteriota.
UGGGGAAUAUUGCCCAAGGGGCGCAAGCCUGAUGCAGCCAUGCGGGGGGUAUGAAGAAGGCUUUCGGUUGGAAAAGUAUUUUCAGCGGGGAGGAAGGGAGUAAGGUUAUUACUUUUGCUCAUUGACGUUACCCGCAGAAGAAGCACCGGCAAACCCCGUGCCAGCAGCCGCGGUAAUACGGAGGGUGCAAGCGUUAAUCGGAAUUACUGGGCGUAAAGCGCACGCAGGCGGUUUGUUAAGUCAGAUGUGAAAUCCCCGGGCUCAACCUGGGAACUGCAUCUGAUACUGGCAAGCUUGAGUCUCGUAGAGGGGGGUAGAAUUCCAGGUGUAGCGGUGAAAUGCGUAGAGAUCUGGAGGAAUACCGGUGGCGAAGGCGGCCCCCUGGACGAAGACUGACGCUCAGGUGCGAAAGCGUGGGGAGCAAACAGG